AGUUCCCCACCUUUACCGAAAGGUAUGGGUAAUCUUGUAAAUUUCAUCGUGAUGGGGCUUGACGAUUGUAAUUUUUUGUCACCAACGAGGAAUUCCUAGUAAGCGCGAUUCAAGAAAUCGCAUUGAUUACGUCCCUGCCCUUUGUACACACCGCA
This 155-nucleotide ribosomal RNA is filed under the name uncultured Cryptophyta. RNAcentral's name for it is "partial 18S ribosomal RNA". It matches the Rfam family "Eukaryotic small subunit ribosomal RNA", at positions 1518 to 1673 of the family's 1831-position model. The record is from RNAcentral. Lineage: Eukaryota; Cryptophyceae.